ACAGCCACCAGUUCUCCUUCAUGCAAGUCAAUAUCGAAUUCCUGCGCGGCGUUGCACUUGCGCUUAGCCUGGUACAGCGACUCGGUGCUGUACAUGGACAGCAGCUUGGACCUGUGCUCCUCUGUUUGCCGUGGGGACUCCAGCUGGAUUCAAACAGAUGAUACUCAUCCUCAGUAAUGCUGGGGCCAUUUCCAGAUAAAAAUCUGGAUAAAAAUGCUGCAUGUGGCAACUGACCCAGCAUUUUCACUCACAGACCAAGGAGUUACUUAACACUGAGACCAAAUCUCCUCUGCAUAUGCAGGAAGAACCUGUCCCACUGCUGUAAUAACAGCUGCCCCUUACUAUAAUGUGCUCUGUGCCAGCCUUGAUGUAAAGGAAUACUCCAGAAUUGCCUUUCUAGAGUGUGUUUCCCAAGCAGCCUUGCUACUGUUCAGUGUAAACUACUUAGGAAUCAAGCUGUUAAUGUUCAACUGAAAGAAUUAUGCCCUAAACUAAUGAAUAUGCCACUGGAAUUCAGCUACUCCUCAGCAAGAAGCCAGCUUACCUUGCAUCCUCAAAAAUCUCUUUUGGGGGACUAAGUAGGACUACAGUGGUGUAUUUCAGUUACUCAGAAUUUAAAUCUCAAUGAAGUGUGGAUCCAUUUGGAUAAGGAGCUGUCAGCAGCAUUCCAGGCACCAGCCCUCGUUGGCUGAGCUCCCUGGCCUUUCCCUGUUUGCAGAACCAAACACGGUGCGUUUGCCAUGAGCCCUGGCCAGCUGGCUAUUGACCUUGCCUUUCUCCCAAACAACCUCCCUGCCUGGCUAGGGCACACUUACACUUGGACAGGCUCAUGCCAUCUACAAAGCUGGCAAGCAGUCCAUGGGAGGGGCAGGUUGAUAAAUCACAAGCCAACCCUCAGCUCUGGAGAGGAGGGCUGAAGCAAAGACAUUUCAGAGAACUCGAGCACUCUGCACAUCUAACGCUAACCCUCAACACAACCUAAACACGGGGAAAGGGAAGGAGUCCUUCCAUCCAGAAUAUGUAUUUUAGGAUGUUUUAAUUCAUGUGGCUGCAGCUCAGUUCUUCAAUCUUUAAUGAGAAGAUUCAUUCAAUCUCACUUGGUCCUCCACUGCAGCAGAUGGGGGUGACAGCUUCACACAGAGAUUGAAAGUCCUGACUGUGCCACCAGGCAGAACCUUCUCUGCACCUGUGGGUCUCCCCUCUGUCAGGGGAAAAAUGCAAAAGUGUGGGCUUCAAAACUUCUUUGCCAUGGGCUAAGUAAUGCAGUGGCAGCAAAGCUUAUUUAUUUAAUAUUCUGAUGUAGACAGCCCUGCUUAUAAAUAAUUUGGGGUUGCCCAGCCAGUGGCAGAAAUGUGUGUCAAACUGG
Molecule: long non-coding RNA, 1366 nt
Organism: Motacilla alba alba
Lineage: Eukaryota; Metazoa; Chordata; Aves; Passeriformes; Motacillidae
Exons: 3
Source: RefSeq, a predicted model, not a curated record